Small nucleolar RNA from Camelus dromedarius (Arabian camel), 135 nucleotides. Its record names the gene SNORA70. It matches the Rfam family "Small nucleolar RNA SNORA70". From Rfam's summary of the family: snoRNA U70 seems to be exclusive to mammals and is a member of the H/ACA class of snoRNA which contain H (ANANNA) and ACA box motifs. H/ACA box snoRNAs are involved in the conversion of uridines to pseudouridines (5-ribosyluracil) a constituent of structural RNAs (transfer, ribosomal, small nuclear, and small nucleolar). NCBI's taxonomy places the organism in Eukaryota, Metazoa, Chordata, Mammalia, Artiodactyla, Camelidae. The record is from Ensembl.
CUGCAGCCAAUUAAGCCCACCAUGCUCUUUUCCCCAAGGAGGCCUGGUGUGCAAUGGCUGCAAACAGGAGCCCCCUCAGCAGUGCAUGCAGCCUGCUGCUUGUAUGGACUGCCCUAAGGGACCUUGGAGACAGCC